Chroicocephalus ridibundus (black-headed gull) is the source of this 1353-nucleotide long non-coding RNA. RefSeq lists it as uncharacterized. NCBI's taxonomy places the organism in Eukaryota, Metazoa, Chordata, Aves, Charadriiformes, Laridae. The transcript has 3 exons. The record is from RefSeq and is a predicted model, not a curated record.
GCAAGCUGGAUACACCCUGAGGCUCCCUCUCACCAAAGAGGGACUGAGGGUGACGACUGUGUGCCGUCCUUCGGUUGCAGGUGAAACUGGGCUGCGAGGGGCUGCUGCGAAACAGCAAGGAGAAACCGGUCUUUGAUGAUAUUUGAAAAGGAAUCUAAAAUUGACCCAAAAAGUCAAUUUCUCAUGUCUCCAAUUAGACUCUUCAUUCGUAUACUUCAAAAUGGAAUUGUCCGCUUUGUUGCAAUGACGUACAGCUCCACAUCCAAAGCCUCAUGAUUUUUAAGUGCAAUUAAUACAUUCCUGGCAUUUGAUACUCUCACUUCUAAUAUGUUCAAGAUAAUUUAACUAUGUCCCCACUCCUGAUCUCUGCUUCUGCUGAAGACAGUCAUUUAGUCUCCAAGGAUGAUUCUCAGGCUGACCUUUGUUCCCAUUUCUCUCCAAUUUUUCAUGUUUUAAGACAGAAGAAAAACUCAUUAGCUAUUUUCAUAAUGCAAUAGGAUUACAACAGGAUUACGAUGCAAAUGUUUUAUUAGCCAUAAGUAGUCCUUCUAGUCCACACUGUGCUCUUCACUACUGUUUUAUUCUCAUCCUGUUUCUCUUGUUAAAACGCGUAUUUUCAUGGAGUACUUCAGCUUUUCAAUAAUCUUGAUUAUAUUGAUUUCCUCUCCUUCUUUGCCUCUAUUCUUAAAUUGCCCGACAAUCAUGCCCCCAGAGACUAAACAGGAGUGAUGAACACCUUAUUGCCACGGCCAAUUUGCCAGUGUUGUUUAGAGCUACACACCUCUCUCUUACAAUGCAGUCACUGGCAUGUGCUCAAAGGAAAACAGCCUACACGCUUCUAAUGUGCUGUAGGUUAGCCAGGCUGAAAGGAGAAGUGUAAUAUCCUAAGAGUUUAUUUGUCACUCCAAACCUUCUAUUAGUUGAUUUGCUUAUUGUGCUGAUAGGGGCUGACCCACUAUCAAGUGCCGCCAACUGCCUUAGACACUUAAACAACUACUCAUUUAUUGACUGCAAGUACUAAAUUUAAUUUUGUUUUGGAUUAAUAAGAACUUGUUCACAGCUGAACUAGAGCAACCUGAGAGUUCAGCAAGUUCCUGUGUUGAUCCCAGUCGCAUAAUGUUCUUAUUUAACCAAUGCAUAUCUGGCAAGCCUUGGCUUGCUGGCACCUGCUGACCAGCCUCUUCAGGAACUGUACUAAGACACAUGGUCACACUUCACCUGCUUGCGAUCCAACUUGAUCCAGAUAAUGCCAUGAAAUUCACAUCUCUGACUGUGCCACGCAGCCUACUUUUCUGCCCCCUCUCAAGCUCAAUACAAAGGUUAAAUUUCUAAGCGUAAAAUAGCUCCCUGAUA